Zonotrichia albicollis (white-throated sparrow) is the source of this 886-nucleotide non-coding RNA. NCBI's taxonomy places the organism in Eukaryota, Metazoa, Chordata, Aves, Passeriformes, Passerellidae. The record is from RefSeq and is a predicted model, not a curated record.
GACUGUUUUCUGAGUAUCUUCCCUUACUGCCUUUCCUCCAGUGGCUGAGAGGAGAAAUGAACUAAAACUUCCAGCAGCAGUUCAAAACAGGGCUGAUGUUUCACCCUUUUUGCAGAGUUCCAGUCUGACUGGGCUUUCCAAAGGUGCUAAGAGACAUAAGUUCCAAGAAUACAUCACUCAUUUCUUCUUUCUUCUUUCAAGAAAACAAGGUACUUGUGAUUUCUGGGUUCCUCUUCUGACUUAGACAUUGAUUCACUGUCUGGCCUUAGGGUGAAACUUGAUUUCUUGAGCCUUGCAGCAAAGGGUAACCUUCAAAUCCAGCAUCUUUGACUGGCAAGGGGCUGCAGACCCUCAAGGCCUUUUCUUGGCUGCCCAGCAUGGAGGCAGCAAUUCCAGAGUGCUGCUUUUUGUAACAAAAUCUCCGGGUCUGCAGCUUUUCACCAUGGAGUUGAGAGCUAAAAUUCAACAUCUGAGUAAAGCCAAAGCUUCUGGAUUGAAGCUGAAGCAGAGGAGCAUGAGCCAGGGAAACCAGACCCAGAGUCCCAGACACCAAAACCACAGGGAUGUGGAACUUUAGUCUCCCAACCAGCCAGCUCGCUAACAGCGACAGCCAUGAAAAUGAAUGAUUUGGCUUCACCCAAAAUGAUGGAUAAUCCUGCUGGAAGAGCAUGACAAUGAUAGACAGACAUCUUCUGAAGGAGAAGGUAAUAGAAAAGACUGACACUUUGAUAGGCACCAUGAUGAACAAGGCCUGGGGGGCCGUGAGUUAAUAGGUUAAUAGAAGUGCUCCGGCUCUCCCAGCCCCUUCUAUCUCUGUGCUCCUUUUAGAGCUCCUUGGGCAGCAAAAUAACAUUGGGAACACUGGGAGGAGAGAUGCAUUUUGUAA